RNAcentral lists this ribosomal RNA (469 nucleotides) under uncultured bacterium. RNAcentral's name for it is "SSU rRNA". It matches the Rfam family "Bacterial small subunit ribosomal RNA", at positions 26 to 518 of the family's 1533-position model. The record is from RNAcentral.
AGAACGAACGCUGGCGGCAUGCCUAACACAUGCAAGUCGAACGCUCUUGGGGCUUCGGUCUCAGGGGAGUGGCGCACGGGUGAGUAGCGCGUGGGAACCUGCCCUGUUGUGGGGGAUAACCGAGGGAAACUUCGGCUAAUACCGCAUAAGCCGGUUGUCUUGAAGGAGAUGGCCGGGAAAGAUUUAUCGCGACAGGAGGGGCCCGCGUCGGAUUAGCUAGUUGGUGGGUAACGGCCCACCAAGGCGGUGAUCCGUAGCUGGUCUGAGAGGAUGAUCAGCCACACUGGGACUGAGACACGGCCCAGACUCCUACGGGAGGCAGCAGUGGGGAAUAUUGGACAAUGGGCGCAAGCCUGAUCCAGCAAUGCCGCGUGAGUGAUGAAGGCCUUAGGGUUGUAAAGCUCUUUCGCCCGCGACGAUGAUGACGGUAGCGGAGAAGAAGCCCGGCUAACUUCGUGCCAGCAGCCGC